Molecule: transfer RNA, 87 nt
Filed under: Clostridiales bacterium
Lineage: Bacteria; Bacillati; Bacillota; Clostridia; Eubacteriales
Description: tRNA-Lys
Source: RNAcentral
GCACCAUUAGCUCAGUUGGUAGAGCACCUGACUCUUAAUCAGGAUCCGAGCGUUGAGAAAACGUUCCGGCGGAACGUUUUUAGUGAG